GGGAAGGAGUAGUAAAUCCUUGGGAUGUAAACUCCUUUCGAUGGGAAGAUAAUGACGGUACCCUAUAGAAGAAGCCCCGGCUAACUUCGUGC
RNAcentral lists this ribosomal RNA (92 nucleotides) under uncultured bacterium. RNAcentral's name for it is "partial 16S ribosomal RNA". The record is from RNAcentral.